RNAcentral lists this ribosomal RNA (235 nucleotides) under uncultured bacterium. RNAcentral describes it as "partial 16S ribosomal RNA". It matches the Rfam family "Bacterial small subunit ribosomal RNA", at positions 524 to 756 of the family's 1533-position model. The record is from RNAcentral.
UACGUAGGGGGCGAGCGUUGUCCGGAUUUAUUGGGCGUAAAGAGCUCGUAGGUGGUUUGGUAAGUCGGAUGUGAAAUCUCCAGGCUCAACCUGGAGGGGUCAUUCGAUACUGCCAUGACUAGAGUUCGGUAGGGGAGACUGGAAUUCCUGGUGUAGCGGUGAAAUGCGCAGAUAUCAGGAGGAACACCGAUGGCGAAGGCAGGUCUCUGGGCCGAUACUGACGUGGAGGAAGCGA